This 2427-nucleotide long non-coding RNA is filed under the name Sus scrofa (pig). RNAcentral describes it as "lncRNA (ENSSSCG00060055617.1)". The record is from RNAcentral. Lineage: Eukaryota; Metazoa; Chordata; Mammalia; Artiodactyla; Suidae.
GAGGAUUCAAAAAAAUUUAACACGUACUUACAUAAAGCACGCCUUAGGUGCCAGACUCUGAGCCUUUCACAAGUAUUAAAUCACUUAUCUUCAUAACAACCCCAUGAAGUAGGUGCUAAUAUUAUCAACAUUUUACAGAGGCAGAGACUGACAAAUGAGCGAAGUAACGCGCCCAGAUCCCUUGGCAGCCAGGACUGAAAUUUAACUGAGCGUGCCUGCUCGGGACCACAUUCUCUCCCCUCCUCCUCUCUCUCUCUCUUUGUCUUUUUAGGGCCACAACCCAGGAGUACGGAAGUUUCCAGACUAGGGGUCAAACCCGAGCCACAGCUGCCGGCCACAGCCACAGCCACGCCAGAUCCAAGCUGUGCCUGUGACCUACACCACAGCUCACAGCAAUGCCGGAUCCUUAACCCGCUCAAGGAGACCAGGGAUCGAACCUGCGUCCUCACGGAUACUACUCGGGUUUGUUCCCACUGAGCCCCAGUGGGAACUCCAGGACUAUAUUCUCUCAACAAUGGCACCCAGCUGUCUCAGGGAGCUGUCUGAGUCCUGAUUCUGCCACUCUGUGUGGGCACCACCCUUCCCACCUGUGUGUGACCUACAGAGCUGACAGGCAGGCCUUCGUGCGUGCCGCCACGAUGGAAAGAAACGUUGAGAAGGAUGAGACCAGCGCAGGCUGUUUUUACAAAAACAUAUCUGAAGCAAAGCCACGAGGACCCAACCAACAGCCCAGCAGGGAGAAGGCUCCCUUCUUCUGCAAGCCCGCAGGGACCCCCACGUCCUAGAGAGAACUGCACCGAGGCGCUGAGGACCCCGGAAGUGCCAUGGACGAGGGAGAAGGCGUCAGGAGGACCGUAUUACAGGCACGGGCAGGAGAGGGGCUGGAGAGCAAAGGAGAGGCAGGAGGACAAAACGUGCCGUGCAGAGGUACCGGGGGGCUGGCAGCACGCCUGAAGGAGAAGGCACUGGGAGCAGAGAAGAAGGAUGACUCGACGUUGCGCCUGAGCCUCUGGGACAGAGGAGCCUCCCAGACAUAGCAAUGAAUUCAAGAGACGGCAUGAACCGCGCAGGAUUUAUCGUCAACAAAACCCUAAGGAAAGGGACACGCAGCCCUGCAGAUGAAAUGUGCUGACAGUGAGAACACCUUGAUGCCUGAGACAUAUUAAGGAUAUUAACUGAUAACGGCAUGUAAAUUUAAAUGUGUUACAAAACAUCCUAUCUCCUAAUCUCCAAAGACACGAAGGCCAGUGAUAAAGCCAGUCUACCUCGGAUGCAGCAGGAAGUCCAUCUCCCUUGGAAAAAAGGACAACUGGUUAAAGACAGAGAUAAUCGGACAAAAUAACUUUUCCUGAACACUGCUAAUCCCUUCCUGACCAUCCAGCAUUUUCAGAGUAGGAUCUAAGAUUUUACGUGACAUGAAAUUCAGUGUUUCCACUAUUUUCUUCAUAGAAACACAGAAUCAUAAGGGAGGAGGAAAACGAGCAUUACAAAAAAUUCAUUUUGGGUAAAACAAAGAAAGUUAAGCCCCAGACCUCAGGAUAUCAAAAUGAUCACCAGUGCAAAUGGAGACUGAUGAGGGUGGGCGAGGAGAGGGAAGCAGACAAACCACAGGAACGAUGCAGCAGCUCGAGACUUUCAAAAAGCCAGCAGAAGCAUGAUGCUCAAACACAGUGGGCACAACCAGGACACGUGUGGUCUGUUUGCAGGAAGAGCAGUCAGGGUGAACCCGCUGGCAGCAGGAGCGUCCUGCACCAAAUUAACUUUCAGAAGCAGAAAAAGUAAAACUACAUGAAGAAUCACCUGAACAAGUCAUAUCUGAAGGCACUGUUCUCUCUCUAUGACAGCAGGAAAAACAAAAGUUUGAAUUGUUAAAGAAAUCUUUUUUUUUUUUCUUGUCUUUUUAGGGCAGCAUCCAUGGCAUAUGUAAGUUCCCAGGCUAGGAGCCAAAUCAGACCUGCGGCUGCCGGCCCACACCACAGCUCACAGCAAUGAGAGUGAGUGAGGCCACUGAGUGAGGCCAGGGAUCGAACCCACAUCCUCAUGGGUACUAGUCAGGUUUGUUACCACUGAACCACAAUGGGCACUCCAUAAAGAAAUCUUUUUUUUGUCUUUUGUCUUUUUAGGGCCACACCCGUGGCAUAUGGAGGUUCCCAGGCGACGGGUCUAAUCGGAGCUGUAGUGGCCAGCCUACGCCAGAGCCACAGCAAUGCAGGAUCCAAGCCGCGUCUGCAACCUACACCACAGCUCAUGGCAAUGCCGGAUCCUUAACCCACUGAGCAAGGGCAGGGAUCGAACCCACAACUUCAUGGUUUCUAGUCAGAUUCAUUAACCACUGAACCACAACAGGAACUCCAAGAAAUCUUUUUAAAUAAGUCUUUUUCACUGGCUGAGAAUAAAGGAUAAAUAAAUUCAUAUGUAAAAACCUGG